AACGAACGCUGGCGGCAGGCUUAACACAUGCAAGUCGAACGCUCCGCAAGGAGAGUGGCAGACGGGUGAGUAACGCGUGGGAACGUACCCUUUACUACGGAAUAGCUCCGGGAAACUGGAAUUAAUACCGUAUGUGCCCUUCGGGGGAAAGAUUUAUCGGUAAAGGAUCGGCCCGCGUUGGAUUAGCUAGUUGGUGGGGUAAAGGCCUACCAAGGCGACGAUCCAUAGCUGGUCUGAGAG
RNAcentral lists this ribosomal RNA (240 nucleotides) under Rhizobium sp. Its description in RNAcentral is "partial 16S ribosomal RNA". It matches the Rfam family "Bacterial small subunit ribosomal RNA", at positions 29 to 298 of the family's 1533-position model. The record is from RNAcentral. Lineage: Bacteria; Pseudomonadati; Pseudomonadota; Alphaproteobacteria; Hyphomicrobiales; Rhizobiaceae.